AUGACUACCGGAUCAUCGGUCUACUCUACCUCAAUUCACCAAUUCGAACUUUAUACAAAAGGUUUUUCCGUACCAGCUCCUUCUACCUAUACCGCAGUUGAAGCACCUAAAGGUGAAUUUGGUGUCUUUCUUGUCAGUAAUGGGAGUAAUCAUCCCUACCAUUGUAAAAUAAGAGCACCUGGCUUUGCCCAUUCACAAGGACUCGAUUCUAUGUCCAAACAUCACAUGCCAGCAGAUGUAGUCACCAUCAUAGGUACUCAAGAUAUUGUGUUUGGAGAGGUAGAUAGAUAG
RNAcentral lists this ribosomal RNA (291 nucleotides) under Triticum aestivum (bread wheat). RNAcentral's name for it is "partial small subunit ribosomal RNA". Lineage: Eukaryota; Viridiplantae; Streptophyta; Magnoliopsida; Poales; Poaceae. The record is from RNAcentral.